Molecule: ribosomal RNA, 2297 nt
Filed under: Triticum aestivum (bread wheat)
Lineage: Eukaryota; Viridiplantae; Streptophyta; Magnoliopsida; Poales; Poaceae
Description: partial small subunit ribosomal RNA
Source: RNAcentral
AAAAAAAUAGCCCUCCCAUAUCCCUAACCUCAUCCCCACCAUCCCACCCAUCGCCUGCAAUGGAUCCGCCGCCGCCCUGAUCCCGACCAUCCGCCGCCGCUCUCUGCCCCAUCCACCGCCGCUGCUCACCGCAUUCACCCUCUGUUGCAUCCCAGCACCUCCAUAGCCACCGUGGACCAUCUCUCUCCUUGGUCCUCUCUUGGAUCAACAUGCGGUAACGGAUGCUUCCGGUCGCGUGGUGGUGAUGCGGCUGGUCGGGGAACAAGGGCGCUCUGCUCACCUGCGGCAGCGAUGCGUAUGGCAACAACAAUGUCCUUUUGUGCCCCUCCACUCUUCGGACCGCUGAUGCACGGAAGUACGCAGAGAAGAUCACGCUCCGCUUAGCAAAUUCGUCCGUGUUCUAAGUGGCUGCUCGGCAAGAGCUUGUGCCGGAUGUUCAUCAUCAACGCCAGAUAGGGGUUCAGGCUCCUGUUGAACUCAUGGCAUCAGCCAUAUGGACCUGCAUGUAUUUGAUAGUUUGCUCAAUCAGAUUUAUCCCUUCAACCAUAGUUAAGGCUACCACACUACUUCAUUGAGAUUUCUUUCCUACAGGACAUGGAUUUAUAAUCUCCAACAAUACGGUCAUGCUUCUUAUAUUUACUUUCAGUUCUAAAUACAUUUGUGAUUUUCUAUAUGCUGUCUUACUAAACUGUGUGUCCUAAACCAACCAUAUAGUAUAUAGAAAGGAUUUUAAAAUGUUAGCUUAUAUUGCAAAAUCUUGAAAAUAUGCGGUCUUUUUACUGUUUUUUCCGUGAACUUGGGGAGCUUGGGACAGAGUAUGGUGUCAAUAAGCAGUAUAUACCAGGACAAUAUUUUUGUGAUAUUGUAUAUACUAACUUAGUGAUAAUGGAGUGUUUACCACAUUUUUGCCAUGGACUCUAUACUGCAUUUUUGAACUGGUUAGAAUAGCUGACGCCUUUUUUAUCUUCCUUGUGGUAUAUGCUACCAUCAGAGGGAGUAUGUAAGGUACUAAUUUCAAGUAUAUACUAUUGUACUAUAUUUUGUCUAUAUACAUAAACAACCAAGUAGUAUGUGCACUUCUCUUUGUGCAUGGCAGUAUAUACAUCAUUUUUUGUAAGGCAAUAUAUAACACCUUUUUUGUGAACCAGUAUACUACUUUAUUUAGUCAGUACAUAUAUACAUAAUCUUUUAGUCGAUAUAUACUACUGUUCUUGAUAUAAUGGGUAAAGCAGCGCACACAUGACACGCAGCAACCGUUGUCGACUAGACGGUGGUGCCGCUGCAUGGAUCUAUCAGUGCAUGCCACGCCGCCACCGUUUCUUAUUGCUGCCGUUGUCGAUGAGAUUGGCAGUGACGUCGCAUGGGUCGACCAGUGCACACCAUGCUGCCACGUUGUCGAUGAGAUGGUGGUGCCGUCUUAUCCAUCGAUGCUAUGUGACUAGCUUCGUCAAUGGCUUUGCACCUUGAUCCAGAUUGUUUUCAUGCAAAGCAUGUCAUGUUUGCCUCUUAAUGACCACAUCCGCUAAGUCAGCUCUCUCUCUCUCUCUACUACUGCAACUAACUAACUGUGAUGAUCUUCUCCAGGUUUUUUGGCUGGAUACUGAGAUGGCACCAUUGUGCUGCUGAAGUUAAACCCUGUUUAUUGGGACGUACAAGCGGUCGGCAAGCACACAUGGCGGCCAGGGAUAAGACAUAUUUUUCCAAUGACUGCUGCUAGGAUUGAUGUCCUAUUGCCGGAGAAACAAUGGCAACAGUCACACCGUUUUGUCCAGCGAUGAUAUCAUCCAUGUCUAUUAUUUUGUUGACAAUCACCAUAGAGAAAUUUUUCUCGGUGCGGGCACUCAAUUCACGAGCCAAACAUUGAUGCGGGCUACUAUGGGGGCUAGGAAGCAGGAUCAACUUGAAGCCAACUUAAAAUUAAUUCUAGUGAGCAUUUGGUCUUCAUUUUGUCGCGAUGCAAACACAUGAACGUGUGGACUACCAUCCAUUGAUGCGUGGAGACCAGAUAUUCAUGUAUCGGCCUCACGCGUGUCGUUGCUGGAGCCCAUUCAUGGCGAGGAUACAUGGUUGAUGGCCCAACAAUCCUUAUGGGAUGGAAGGAUCCCAUGACUAUAGGAAUGGCACUAAAUAAACUGUGUACUAACUAGAGAAAUGAUUUAUUUCAUAGGUCUAGAAUAUAUAGGCUGACAAGUAUUUGGCAUUCUGUCUUUUUAAUAAGUAGAUGAUUUUUCUACAAUAGUUCCAUGUUCAUAUGUCAUGCUUCUUUGGUGCAAUAGGAAACAAUGCCAUUGAUCGAC